RNAcentral lists this ribosomal RNA (1346 nucleotides) under uncultured Hyphomonas sp. RNAcentral's name for it is "bacterial SSU rRNA". It matches the Rfam family "Bacterial small subunit ribosomal RNA". Lineage: Bacteria; Pseudomonadati; Pseudomonadota; Alphaproteobacteria; Hyphomonadales; Hyphomonadaceae. The record is from RNAcentral.
UAACACAUGCAAGUCGAACGAUAUAGUGGCAGACGGGUGAGUAACGCGUGGGAACGUACCUUUCACUACGGAAUAGCUCUUGGAAACGAGUGGUAAUACUGUAUACGCCCUUCGGGGGAAAGAUUUAUCGGUGAAAGAUCGGCCCGCGUUAGAUUAGCUAGUUGGUAGGGUAAUGGCCUACCAAGGCGACGAUCUAUAGCUGGUCUGAGAGGAUGAUCAGCCACACUGGGACUGAGACACGGCCCAGACUCCUACGGGAGGCAGCAGUGGGGAAUCUUGCACAAUGGGCGAAAGCCUGAUGCAGCCAUGCCGCGUGAAUGAUGAAGGCCUUAGGGUUGUAAAAUUCUUUCGCUAGGGAUGAUAAUGACAGUACCUAGUAAAGAAGCCCCGGCUAACUUCGUGCCAGCAGCCGCGGUAAUACGAAGGGGGCUAGCGUUGUUCGGAAUUACUGGGCGUAAAGCGCACGUAGGCGGACUUUUAAGUCAGAUGUGAAAUCCCGGGGCUCAACCUCGGAACUGCAUUUGAUACUGGAAGUCUAGAGACCAGGAGAGGUUAGCGGAAUACCGAGUGUAGAGGUGAAAUUCGUAGAUAUUCGGUGGAACACCAGUGGCGAAGGCGGCUAACUGGACUGGUACUGACGCUGAGGUGCGAAAGUGUGGGGAGCAAACAGGAUUAGAUACCCUGGUAGUCCACACCGUAAACGAUGAGAGCUAGUUGUUGGCAGGCAUGCCUGUCGGUGACGCAGCUAACGCAUUAAGCUCUCCGCCUGGGGAGUACGGUCGCAAGAUUAAAACUCAAAGAAAUUGACGGGGGCCCGCACAAGCGGUGGAGCAUGUGGUUUAAUUCGAAGCAACGCGCAGAACCUUACCUACCCUUGACAUACCGAUCGCGGUUUCCAGAGAUGGAUCCUCAGUAGGCUGAUCGUACUGCGCAUGGCUGUCGUCAGCCCGUGUCGUGAGAUGUUGGGUUAAGUCCCGCAACGAGCGCAACCCUCAUCCUUAGUUGCCAUCACGUUUGGGUGGGCACUCUAAGGAAACUGCCGGUGGUAAGCCGGAGGAAGGUGGGGAUGACGUCAAGUCCUCAUGGCCCUUACGGGUAGGGCUACACACGUGCUACAAUGGCAGUGACAAUGGGUUAAUCCCCAAAAACUGUCUCAGUUCGGAUUGUCGUCUGCAACUCGACGGCAUGAAGGUGGAAUCGCUAGUCACUGUGGAUCAGCAUGCCACGGUGAAUACGUUCCCGGGCCUUGUACACACCGCCCGUCACAUCAUGGGAAUUGGUUCUACCCGAAGACGCUGUGCUAACUUCGGAGGCAGGCGGCCACGGUAGGAUCAGUGACUGGGAUG